Molecule: ribosomal RNA, 618 nt
Filed under: uncultured bacterium
Lineage: Bacteria
Description: bacterial SSU rRNA
Rfam family: Bacterial small subunit ribosomal RNA
Source: RNAcentral
CCUACGGGAGGCAGCAGUGGGGAAUUUUGGACAAUGGGCGCAAGCCUGAUCCAGCAAUGCCGCGUGAGUGAAGAAGGCCUUCGGGUUGUAAAGCUCUUUUGUCAGGGAAGAAACGGCUGAGGCUAAUACCUUCGGCUAAUGACGGUACCUGAAGAAUAAGCACCGGCUAACUACGUGCCAGCAGCCGCGGUAAUACGUAGGGUGCAAGCGUUAAUCGGAAUUACUGGGCGUAAAGCGUGCGCAGGCGGUUUUGUAAGUCUGACGUGAAAUCCCCGGGCUCAACCUGGGAAUUGCGUUGGAGACUGCAAGGCUGGAGUCUGGCAGAGGGGGGUAGAAUUCCACGUGUAGCAGUGAAAUGCGUAGAGAUGUGGAGGAACACCGAUGGCGAAGGCAGCCCCCUGGGUCAAGACUGACGCUCAUGCACGAAAGCGUGGGGAGCAAACAGGAUUAGAUACCCUGGUAGUCCACGCCCUAAACGAUGUCUACUAGUUGUCGGGUCUUAAUUGACUUGGUAACGCAGCUAACGCGUGAAGUAGACCGCCUGGGGAGUACGGUCGCAAGAUUAAAACUCAAAGGAAUUGACGGCUGAGACGNGCGAGACGACGACGAGGGAGGAGG